AAGAUUUUAAGUUAAAAUAAACUAAUAGCCUUCAAAGCUUUAUAUAAAAUAUAAUUUUAAAUCUUA
This 66-nucleotide transfer RNA is filed under the name Fenusa (Kaliofenusa) sp. 1 GYN-2022b. RNAcentral's name for it is "tRNA-Trp". Lineage: Eukaryota; Metazoa; Arthropoda; Insecta; Hymenoptera; Tenthredinidae. The record is from RNAcentral.